Molecule: long non-coding RNA, 316 nt
Filed under: Setaria italica (foxtail millet)
Lineage: Eukaryota; Viridiplantae; Streptophyta; Magnoliopsida; Poales; Poaceae
Description: long non-coding RNA (SITA_LNC003462)
Source: RNAcentral
CGGACAGGGAGAGAAGGUGGAGACCUGAGGGUGAGGAUGGGUAGAGGAAGAAGACGGUGAUCACGGGCUGGAGGGAAGGUGGAAACUUGAGGGUGAGGAUGGGUAGAGGAAGAAGGUGGCGAUCACGGGCUGGAGUACAUGGCAAGAAGCUCGCCUUGUCCUCGUGGCUGCCGCUGCAUCCGCCGCCCACAAUGCAAGAAAUCUUUGAUGGCUCGGCGGCGGAGGUGCCAGUCACAACCCACGAGAACGCGCUGGCACGUGUUUUCGCAAGAAAGACGGAAAGAAUGCUACCGCCUUAGCUUCUCGCCGAUUUCGG